This 2357-nucleotide long non-coding RNA is filed under the name Mus musculus (house mouse). RNAcentral describes it as "long non-coding RNA chr11:84009725-84012082". Lineage: Eukaryota; Metazoa; Chordata; Mammalia; Rodentia; Muridae. The record is from RNAcentral.
AACCUAUGGGUACUCUGACAGCUCUGAAGCUUAGAUUGGAUAGCCAAGAUAUUUUUAUUUUGACGCCAAUACUCACUUGGUGUCAGAGGCCCAUACGAACCCACUGCUCAGUGAACCCCACACAGCCAGAAGUUUUAUAAAGAAUUUGGCAGUGUGUACAGUGUUUCUUCAUGCCUGUGAGAGGGACUAGCAGUGCCUGCCCUCCUCUUUUGUCUCCUCUUUGGUAUAUUAGGGUUGCUAAGACAGUGUUUGUUUGGUUUACAGAAACCGACUCUGACUAGGCCAAGAGAGUGAACGAACUCCCCACACUUGUAGUUCAGCUUGCCAGCUCCCCUGAGAAGAGUGAAGAGGUCACUUAGGGAUGCUCUGUGGGUCAGGGCCUGGCGGGGAGCAGACCUGUUUUCAGUGUUACAGUUUUGCAGUGUUACUGCCAGUAUUAAGUUGUAAUAACCCUGUAGAUGAUAGGCUAGGGUAGCUACUAACUUCUGAUGUGUGAGAACCUCUUUCUAGAGAGCCCUCUUUAAACCCUGUGUGGCUUUACAUGUAGCAGUUUAUUCUCGGGUCUAACUUUGUGUCACAAGAACUAGAUUCCCAAGUGUCCUAGUUUUUAUUUUGUUUUGUUUUGUUUUGUUUUGUUUUUUUGAUAUGUAUAUAGAAAGAUAAACCUACUUUGUGGCCUUUAAUAAUGAGAACUAUCUCGGUAUUACUGUAUUAUUCUAGAAAAUGUAGUGUGCACAUGCAGGGUUCGUUUCUCUACCUGAGAGGGACAGGUAAGACAUUGUACGUUUACAGACUCAGCAGACAUUGUGAAGUGCUGUGGAGUCCGCAGAUUUCAAACUGGCAAUGGCGCCCUUUGUUACUGAAAUGUUGGCAGUUUCUUAUGCUGGGUUUGAAUGGGACGCAGUUAGCGAUGAUCCCCGUCCUGCCUGCUGCCGGCUGAGGGCUUGCCUGAUGCAGCAGGCUGGCUCAGCUCCUGAUGCCCAUCACUAGUACUUUCUCCUUUUUUUUUUUCUUUUCAUUUUUUAUAUUUUCCCCUUCAGUGUUGUUUGUUUGAUAGGAUGCUUUGUUAUUUUUAAUAUGAGCUGCGUGAGCCACAACACUUGGUUGCAAAGGGGCAUUGUUUUUUAAACGACAUUUGAUUUUUAUUUAAAAACAAUUUCACAACAUGUAUACUAGCCUUUUGGACUCUGAAGUUAUUAAUUAGAGGCUAUUUUUCUGAAAAUGAAUCUAUAUUCUUUCACAGUGCCAAACCACAUCUUUGUGAAAUGAGUUAAUCCAGGUCUGGGAUGUCUUUUUCCCACCUUUUCUUUGGGAAGGGGAGGUUGGCUUUUGACUGAGUUCAUUCCAAUGGACCUGUUAAAUAAUCUGUGCUCGCUCACUCGCUCACUCGCUCGUGUUCUCUCUGUAUGUUUGGAACAUUCCCAGAAUGGAACCUGUCAUGUUGGAGACAGCUCUGUUCAAAGGGAGGAGACCUUAAAUGCAGAUUGUUCCCUUCUGUUGUUCUGUAAACCUCCCUUGGGGGAGGAGCAGUAUCCUUUCCUUCAGAGCGGUUGUUAAGAUGGGUUGAUGCCGACUGUCACGCUAAUGUGUUGCUGAGCAAGACUGCAGAUUGCUGCCUGAGUAAAAUACUGGAGAGGUGAGCGCAGGCAUUGCCUCAGCGCGCUGUGACUCUAUUUUACCCUUUCGCUCACCGUGGAAUCUGUUGCUCUCUUAGUCUGAGACAUCCUGGAGAAAUAAGCGGGCUGAUGGGGAAAAAAGAAAAGAAAAACUUGGAUGGUUACUGUCCCUGGACCGUAAUCCUGCCUGGAAACCCUAACUUAACUCUGAAGGGGAUACUUCUCUGACCCGUGCUGUUAAUUCUUUGUAUGAAGGUAGAUAGAUAUACUAAUAACAUUGCCUGGUUUCUCUCUGCAUAUCAUUACAUUUAACCCUUUGAGUCCUUGCUGCUUAUCAUUUCAAAGAGGCUGCUUUCCCACCCCCCUAAAUUUACUCUCUCUGGCACAGCAGCAUCUUGGUGUUUGGUCUUUAAGCUCCUUUGUCUGGCAGCAAGAGCUUGCUCUGAUCUGUGACUUUCUCAGAGCCAGCAAGCCCUCUGGGGCUACUUGCCUGUGAAGUAGCUCUUUUUGACAUGGAAAAUCUUUGUAUUUUAAUCAGCGCCUUAUUAUUUUGGGCUGCUUUUCUGAUGUCUUUUCAGUAGAGACACUUGUGUGUGAAUGUGUCGUUGGGAACUUGCUUUAUCCUCCUCUUCUGCAAACACUGGCUGCAUGCUUACUCUGAUGCUUCCUUUCUAGCUCUUCUGUACUCUCUCCUGCGAUCUGUAAGUCCUGUGUUAAUAAACGAUUCUUUGGCAUAUUUUG